GAGGUGUUUGGGAUGAGAGAA
Molecule: microRNA, 21 nt
Filed under: Glycine max (soybean)
Lineage: Eukaryota; Viridiplantae; Streptophyta; Magnoliopsida; Fabales; Fabaceae
Description: gma-miR1507c-5p
Source: miRBase by way of RNAcentral